GAUGAAGAACGUAGCGAAAUGCGAUAAGUAAUGUGAAUUGCAGAAUUCAGUGAAUCAUCGAAUCUUUGAACGCACCUUGCGCCCUUUGGACAUUCCGAAGGCCAUGCCUGUUUGAGUAUCAUGAACACCUCAACUCUCACGGCUUGUCCGUGAUGAGCUUGGACUUUGGGGGUCUUGCCGGCCUGUGGUCGGCUCCUCUCAAAUGGAUCAGCUUGCCAGUGUUUGGUGGCAUCACAGGUGUGAUAACUAUCUGCGCUUGUGGUUUUCCAUCAGAUAACCUUCAGUGAUAUGGAGGUUCGCUGGAGCUCACAAAUGUCUCUCCUUAGUGAGGACAGCUCUUUGAACGUUUGAUCUCAAAUCAGGUAGGACUACCCGCUGAACUUAAGCAUAUCAAUAAGCGGAGGA
RNAcentral lists this unclassified non-coding RNA (405 nucleotides) under soil metagenome. Its description in RNAcentral is "partial contains 5.8S ribosomal RNA, internal transcribed spacer 2, and large subunit ribosomal RNA". The stretch from base 1 to 121 matches the Rfam family "5.8S ribosomal RNA", at positions 35 to 154 of the family's 154-position model. The record is from RNAcentral.